GAUCCUGGCUCAGGACGAACGCUGGCGGCGUGCCUAACACAUGCAAGUCGAACGGGGCUUAGGGAGCUUGCUCCCAAAAGCCUAGUGGCGGACGGGUGAGUAACGCGUGAGCAACCUGCCUCUCAGAGGGGAAUAACGUUUGGAAACGAACGCUAAUACCGCAUAACAUUGUUUUGUCGCAUGGCAGAGCAAUCAAAGGAGCAAUCCGCUGAGAGAUGGGCUCGCGUCCGAUUAG
Molecule: ribosomal RNA, 235 nt
Filed under: uncultured bacterium
Lineage: Bacteria
Description: partial 16S ribosomal RNA
Rfam family: Bacterial small subunit ribosomal RNA
Source: RNAcentral